RNAcentral lists this ribosomal RNA (806 nucleotides) under uncultured archaeon. RNAcentral describes it as "bacterial SSU rRNA". It matches the Rfam family "Archaeal small subunit ribosomal RNA", at positions 33 to 839 of the family's 1478-position model. The record is from RNAcentral.
UCGGUGUUCGCCUAAGCCAUGCGAGUCAUAUGUUCGUAAGAACAUGGCGUACUGCUCAGUAACACGUGGAUAACCUGCCCUUGGGUCCGGCAUAACCCCGGGAAACUGGGGAUAAUUCCGGAUAACGCACAUAUGCUGGAAUGCUUUAUGCGUAAAAUGGAUUCGUCUGCCCAAGGAUGGGUCUGCGGCCUAUCAGGUAGUAGUGGGUGUAAUGUACCUACUAGCCUACGACGGGUACGGGUUGUGAGAGCAAGAGCCCGGAGAUGGAUUCUGAGACAUGAAUCCAGGCCCUACGGGGCGCAGCAGGCGCGAAAACUUUACAAUGCGGGAAACCGUGAUAAGGGGACACCGAGUGCCAGCAUCCUAUGCUGGCUGUCCGGGUGUGUAAAAUACACCUGUUAGCAAGGGCCGGGCAAGACCGGUGCCAGCCGCCGCGGUAACACCGGCGGCCCGAGUGGUGAUCGUGAUUAUUGGGUCUAAAGGGUCCGUAGCCGGUUUGGUCAGUCCUCCGGGAAAUCUGACAGCUUAACUGUUAGGCUUUCGGAGGAUACUGCCAGACUUGGAACCGGGAGAGGUAAGAGGUACUACAGGGGUAGGAGUGAAAUCUUGUAAUCCCUGUGGGACCACCUGUGGCGAAGGCGUCUUACCAGAACGGGUUCGACGGUGAGGGACGAAAGCUGGGGGCACGAACCGGAUUAGAUACCCGGGUAGUCCCAGCCGUAAACGAUGCUCGCUAGGUGUCAGGCAUGGCGCGACCGUGUCUGGUGCCGCAGGGAAGCCGUGAAGCGAGCCACCUGGGAAGUACG